This 497-nucleotide ribosomal RNA is filed under the name uncultured bacterium. Its description in RNAcentral is "partial 16S ribosomal RNA". It matches the Rfam family "Bacterial small subunit ribosomal RNA", at positions 28 to 507 of the family's 1533-position model. The record is from RNAcentral.
GAUGAACGCUGGCGGCGUGCCUAAUACAUGCAAGUCGAGCGAACGGACGAGAAGCUUGCUCUUCUGAUGUUAGCGGCGGACGGGUGAGUAACACGUGGAUAACCUACCUAUAAGACUGGGAUAACUUCGGGAAACCGGAGCUAAUACCGGAUAAUAUUUUGAACCGCAUGGUUCAAAAGUGAAAGACGGUUUUGCUGUCACUUAUAGAUGGAUCCGCGCUGCAUUAGCUAGUUGGUAAGGUAACGGCUUACCAAGGCAACGAUGCAUAGCCGACCUGAGAGGGUGAUCGGCCACACUGGAACUGAGACACGGUCCAGACUCCUACGGGAGGCAGCAGUAGGGAAUCUUCCGCAAUGGGCGAAAGCCUGACGGAGCAACGCCGCGUGAGUGAUGAAGGUCUUCGGAUCGUAAAACUCUGUUAUUAGGGAAGAACAGAUGUGUAAGUAACUGUGCACGUCUUGACGGUACCUAAUCAGAAAGCAACGGCUAACUACGUG